Molecule: long non-coding RNA, 737 nt
Organism: Heterocephalus glaber (naked mole-rat)
Lineage: Eukaryota; Metazoa; Chordata; Mammalia; Rodentia; Bathyergidae
Source: Ensembl
UGGGUCAGACCCACCUGGAAUUCCAUUCCAGCCUUCAGGUGGCACAAGUCACCUGAGCGGGAGGGUCCCGGGGCUGGCAGGAUGGGGAGAGAAGGAGCCUUGUUCCUUCGGCCCGAGGAGGGGCCUCCAUCCUGGUUCAGGACACGCUUCUCUUCUAAAAAAGAAUAAAUGAGUCACGUGUGACAAGUCACCCAAAGGAACUCAGCUUCAAUCAGCCACUUCAAAUUCUCCAUGGGACAGAAAAGAUAUAUUAAACAGACACAUUUAAAAUAUCCUGCUUAUAAGGCUGAAGACUGAACUCCAGACUGCUCCAUAUGAAGAUCUCCAGAUUUACUCUGGCUCCAUCAUUUCUUGCAACCACGUCCAGGUGGAUCAUCUUCAGCACUGCCCAUCUCAACCCUGAACCCAUCUCCUCCUGGGAAGUCAAUCGGCAAGUUGUCAGCACUGGCCUCAGCAGGAAGCUUUCGUCCCUCAACUCUUCCUGCCAAAAGCUCGGCAAAGCCCACUCCGUCUGGCCUGGUAUUCUGUUGUGCUUCCUGUCUUCUUCCCACUAGGUUUGCUUCCUGAACACAGCCCCUCCUUUGCACACUCCAGAGAGCUGUAUGUAGGCUUUAGGAGAGCUUCCUAGACCUUGGCUUCUUGCCUGCCAGGCCCUUGGUUGCUUCCCUCACAACCUCCAGAGGAAGAAUCCAUGCUCUUCCUUUGGAAACACAUGGGCCAUCUGGGGCCAAUGCUAG